RNAcentral lists this ribosomal RNA (409 nucleotides) under bacterium. RNAcentral's name for it is "partial 16S ribosomal RNA". It matches the Rfam family "Bacterial small subunit ribosomal RNA", at positions 355 to 776 of the family's 1533-position model. The record is from RNAcentral.
UGGGGAAUAUUGCACAAUGGGCGAAAGCCUGAUGCAGCGACGCCGCGUGAGGGAUGACGGCCUUCGGGUUGUAAACCUCUUUCAGCAGAGACGAAGCGCAAGUGACGGUACCUGCAGAAGAAGCACCGGCUAACUACGUGCCAGCAGCCGCGGUAAUACGUAGGGUGCAAGCGUUGUCCGGAAUUACUGGGCGUAAAGAGUUCGUAGGCGGUUUGUCGCGUCGUUUGUGAAAACCAGCAGCUCAACUGCUGGCUUGCAGGCGAUACGGGCAGACUUGAGUACUGCAGGGGAGACUGGAAUUCCUGGUGUAGCGGUGAAAUGCGCAGAUAUCAGGAGGAACACCGGUGGCGAAGGCGGGUCUCUGGGCAGUAACUGACGCUGAGGAACGAAAGCGUGGGUAGCGAACAGG